This 785-nucleotide ribosomal RNA is filed under the name Enterococcus sp. 6L. Its description in RNAcentral is "bacterial SSU rRNA". It matches the Rfam family "Bacterial small subunit ribosomal RNA", at positions 90 to 860 of the family's 1533-position model. The record is from RNAcentral. Lineage: Bacteria; Bacillati; Bacillota; Bacilli; Lactobacillales; Enterococcaceae.
GAGGAGUGGCGAACGGGUGAGUAACACGUGGGUAACCUGCCCAUCAGAAGGGGAUAACACUUGGAAACAGGUGCUAAUACCGUAUAACAAUCGAAACCGCAUGGUUUUGAUUUGAAAGGCGCUUUCGGGUGUCGCUGAUGGAUGGACCCGCGGUGCAUUAGCUAGUUGGUGAGGUAACGGCUCACCAAGGCGACGAUGCAUAGCCGACCUGAGAGGGUGAUCGGCCACAUUGGGACUGAGACACGGCCCAAACUCCUACGGGAGGCAGCAGUAGGGAAUCUUCGGCAAUGGACGAAAGUCUGACCGAGCAACGCCGCGUGAGUGAAGAAGGUUUUCGGAUCGUAAAACUCUGUUGUUAGAGAAGAACAAGGAUGAGAGUAACUGUUCAUCCCUUGACGGUAUCUAACCAGAAAGCCACGGCUAACUACGUGCCAGCAGCCGCGGUAAUACGUAGGUGGCAAGCGUUGUCCGGAUUUAUUGGGCGUAAAGCGAGCGCAGGCGGUUUCUUAAGUCUGAUGUGAAAGCCCCCGGCUCAACCGGGGAGGGUCAUUGGAAACUGGGAGACUUGAGUGCAGAAGAGGAGAGUGGAAUUCCAUGUGUAGCGGUGAAAUGCGUAGAUAUAUGGAGGAACACCAGUGGCGAAGGCGGCUCUCUGGUCUGUAACUGACGCUGAGGCUCGAAAGCGUGGGGAGCAAACAGGAUUAGAUACCCUGGUAGUCCACGCCGUAAACGAUGAGUGCUAAGUGUUGGAGGGUUUCCGCCCUUCAGUGCUGCAGCUAACGCAU